This is a long non-coding RNA of Seriola aureovittata, 1737 nucleotides long. RefSeq lists it as uncharacterized. Lineage: Eukaryota; Metazoa; Chordata; Actinopteri; Carangiformes; Carangidae. The record is from RefSeq and is a predicted model, not a curated record. The transcript is spliced from 3 exons.
GGGUGUAAGCAACAUCAGCUAUGCUACUAGACAGUGAAGCUAACUUUUGUUUACACAUAACGUUGCCUUAUAUGUAAUCUGUGCAGCCUAUGUGUUUGGCACUGUAGUUGUCAGCAAAUGUGAUUCAAUGGUAGUUAUUUAAUGUUAGUUUGUAAUAGUUUUGAGUGGGAUGUAACAUUCAAUGUUUGCCUUUAUUUUUAACAACACAUGUAAUUAUGCAGUAAACAAAAAAAGCAAUAUAUUGUUGAUUUUAGAUUUUUGACCACUUUUAGCUCUGAUGACGGCUGUGCUCACACUUCAUUCUCGCACCAGCUUCAUGAAGUCAACACCUGGAAUGGUUUCCAACAGUCUUACAGGAGUUCAUAUACUGGAUGUUGAGCACCUGUAGGCUGCUUUUCUUUCACUCUGCUUCCAACUCACCAUGGGUUUAGCUCAGGUGACUGUGGAGGCCAGGUCAUGUGAUGCAGUUUGUGUGCUGAUGUUCAAACAACUGGAGUUCCCUAUAUUCUUAAAAACAAUCAAUCAGUCAGAUUAAUAUGAAUAAAUCUACCAGCCAGUUAAAUAAAUAUGGUUAUGAAGUAAGUUAUUAAAUGAAUAAAUAAAGGUGUCCCAGUCCCUGGGAUCAGCUUACAUCAAUUCAAUAAAAUAUUUAUCAGUUAUCAAUUGUUUUCAAAGCCCAGUAUUCAGGAACAUUUUAUUGCCAGUAGUCUGUAUAUACUAAUGAAACUUACAUAUCCAUUUUAAAUGGCAGCAAACCUUGCCUCAGUAAAAGUAGAUCUAUGACUUUUGACCAUAGCCUCUAUGUGAAUAUGAUCUAGGGUCAUUUGUUUUGACUGAAAGCUAGCCGAUUGCUUCAAAACACAGGUAUUAACUAAUUUAUACAUUCAUUAUGGUAUUUAUUUAUUUCAUUAUAUAUUUCACUGGCAUUUUGUUUUAUUUCAAAUAGAAUAACAGCAAUAACAGCAUUCUAUAUGACAUGGUUCAUUCCUCUCUUCUUAGAUAUUUGUACAGUUGCACAUAUCCAAAUAUCAGCUCUGUUCAUUCCCAAUCCACAUUCUUAACUUCCAGUAUCAUGAAUGGACAUUAUUCUGGGUUAUUAUAUAUGUGUUCUGUGACUUGUUUUUGUCCUCCAGACAGAGGGACAUACAAGGACAGAGCAUCCACCACUCUGGACAUCUGGCAGGGUCCAGAAGCUUGAGCACAAACAUUCAUGCAACAGGACAAAAAGUUCGGCUCAAUAUUACAGAUGUGGAACAAAGACAUCUGCUGAUACUAUGAUGAGUUCUUUGUCUACUGCAGAACUCAAGUCCUCUCACAAUCAUGUGCUUAUGUAUGUGAACAAGCUCUUCAGCUCCUCACUUCCAGUACACACAGCUGUAACCAUGCUGGAAGGCCUGGACUACAAUCACCACAUCAACAGACCAGCCAAGAGAAGAGAUGACAGCUCAAUUCAGCACGUUUUGUUAUAACUAUUCCUAUACAUUUUAGGCAGUCAACUUGUAGGUGCUGAGUCAAGGCUGAUCUGGCACUAUGACAACAACAAGUCCAGGAAGUGGAGCUUGUACACAGUCAAGGUUGGUUUCUAGAAGAGCAGAUGAACAGACCAGAACCAUGAGGCCAGAUGAGCCCCAUCGACAUGGCCGUCUGUCAGGUGAUGCUGCCCCAUCCACCGAGGAGCUGAGUCAGCAGAGGGUGAGUUUGGUGACAUACUUGUGUGCAAAAUCCUGAAGAAGUCCA